RNAcentral lists this ribosomal RNA (433 nucleotides) under uncultured bacterium. Its description in RNAcentral is "partial 16S ribosomal RNA". It matches the Rfam family "Bacterial small subunit ribosomal RNA", at positions 29 to 507 of the family's 1533-position model. The record is from RNAcentral.
AACGAACGCUGGCGGCAUGCCUAACACAUGCAAGUCGAACGAGACCUUCGGGUCUAGUGGCGCACGGGUGCGUAACGCGUGGGAACCUGCCCUUAGGUUCGGAAUAACUCCCCGAAAGGGGUGCUAAUACCGGAUAAUGUCUUCGGACCAAAGAUUUAUCGCCUUUGGAUGGGCCCGCGUUGGAUUAGCUAGUUGGUAGGGUAAAAGCAUACCAAGGCGACGAUCCAUAGCUGGUCUGAGAGGAUGAUCAGCCACACUGGGACUGAGACACGGCCCAGACUCCUACGGGAGGCAGCAGUGGGGAAUAUUGGACAAUGGGCGAAAGUCUGAUCCAGCAAUGCCGCGUGAGUGAUGAAGGCCUUAGGGUUGUAAAGCUCUUUUACCCGGGAUGAUAAUGACAGUACCGGGUGAAUAAGCUCCGGCUAACUCCGUG